Non-coding RNA from Caenorhabditis elegans, 166 nucleotides. NCBI's taxonomy places the organism in Eukaryota, Metazoa, Nematoda, Chromadorea, Rhabditida, Rhabditidae. The record is from Ensembl.
GAGUGACAGGAUAGUGUGAAAUAUGUAAAUCAUCCCGACAGAGCUGCCCCCGGCUCUGCGCGAAUGCUCAUAGAGUCUCUUGACGGGCAGGGCUCGGGAAUGAGCAAACAGGAGCCCCAUGUGCUCGUCCGGUGGGGAGAGGCGCCAAUUGUUUUUUCAAUUGUGU